This is a long non-coding RNA of Mobula hypostoma (lesser devil ray), 1304 nucleotides long. RefSeq lists it as uncharacterized. The record is from RefSeq and is a predicted model, not a curated record. NCBI's taxonomy places the organism in Eukaryota, Metazoa, Chordata, Chondrichthyes, Myliobatiformes, Myliobatidae. The transcript is spliced from 3 exons.
UUUAAAUAUAUUUUAAAAUAUUUCAUACUCCAGUAAAGCCCUGAUUAUCAGCUAGAUCCCUCUAAGAGGAUCACAGCCUUGUUGUGGUUUGGAGGCUCACAAGCCUUCAUGACCCAGAGAGCUAUGUUGGCUGGAGUCAGGGAUUUAUGCUUUGGCUCUUGGUAGGAUCACCCAUGCCAAACAGGUCAGAAGGUAGUUGACAGACUAAGACUGGUCCGCCAGUCCUCCAGGUUUGGGUGAUCAGCUGAGGGCCAACAGUCCUGAAUGGUAAAACAAAAUUGUUACAGAAACAGCAAUGAAGAAUCUUUCCACAUCUGAAUGUGAUGGUAUUCCUGAGUCUCCACCCUGGACACACAUGACUGACAACAGUGAAAAUCAAGAGGAAGCUACUGACAUGAUGAAGGAGGCCUGAACCCCACCAAAGAUGGAGGACCUUCAUUGUUUCCUUAAAUGCUAGCAGCGUAAGUGGCAGUAGACUGUACACUGUGAAAGUCCGGUGGGUUUGUGCAAAUCCAAAGGAUAUGUGGGUCAGAUGAGCAAUGCACCUAAGCAACAAAUUGGAGAAAAUGUCGGAAAAAUCUGAAUCUUAUCAACGUACACAAGCAAAAGCAAACUAAUAUUUUAAUAUUAUCACCCAUGUUAUUUUUAAUUUUUUUCUUUUUUUAUUGCAAAAUGUAAGCAUCCAGAAUAGAUUAUAGUAUUAGCUGCUGAAUGCAUUAUGUUAAAACGUGGAGUGGCAUGAAUGCUAGGGUCUGUAACCUGGAAAUUUACAGCAUAGAAUGAUGUUGACAAAUGGAAGCCUAUAAAUAGAACUUGGCAAACCAGUGCAAGGUCAUACAAAUUCUUCAACCUCUAUCAAACAAAAACUCUGUUCACCAAAAUCUCCCUUUUUUUUUCUAAUCUAUAAAGGCUGGUGGCUGAGCACUAUUCUGCUUUUGAAGUUCUCCUUUUUUUCCAGCCCUUUAUACAGUAUUCCUAUCUCUGUAAUCUGUUCCAGUGCUGCAGGUUAUAUACACAACUUGGAUUAGAAUUCUGGCUUCUUUAUCAGUUGGAAAUUACCUUCACCUCCCAAAGACAUAAGACUAAAAAUUUCCUUCCUAAACAAUUCUUCUCUCUGUCUCUCUGUCUCUCUGUCCCAUUAGAUUUCCAUAGCCCACAUUUUUACCAAAUGUCUGAGCUCCUGCCCAAACAUCUUCUGUGAUUCUAGAUAAAUGUUGUUUGAUAGUGUACCUGUCCGACUUCUAAAGAUGUUCCAACUACAUUAAAAAUACAUAUUUAUUUCUUUUGCUGUUGGUUUCAUUUAU